This 26-nucleotide non-coding RNA is filed under the name Cricetulus griseus (Chinese hamster). The record is from RNAcentral. Lineage: Eukaryota; Metazoa; Chordata; Mammalia; Rodentia; Cricetidae.
AUUGCGACGUCCGCUCUGCACAGAUU